GGAGGGUUCGCAUAGUGGUCUAGUGCGCUCGCUUGGAAAGCGAGUAAGGGUUAAACCCCUUCAUGAGUUCGAAUCUCAUACCCUCCG
Molecule: transfer RNA, 87 nt
Filed under: Minisyncoccota bacterium
Lineage: Bacteria; Bacillati; Minisyncoccota
Description: tRNA-Ser
Rfam family: tRNA
About the family: Transfer RNA (tRNA) molecules are approximately 80 nucleotides in length. Their secondary structure includes four short double-helical elements and three loops (D, anti-codon, and T loops). Further hydrogen bonds mediate the characteristic L-shaped molecular structure. tRNAs have two regions of fundamental functional importance: the anti-codon, which is responsible for specific mRNA codon recognition, and the 3' end, to which the tRNAs corresponding amino acid is attached (by aminoacyl-tRNA synthetases). tRNAs cope with the degeneracy of the genetic code in two manners: having more than one tRNA (with a specific anti-codon) for a particular amino acid; and 'wobble' base-pairing, i.e. permitting non-standard base-pairing at the 3rd anti-codon position.
Source: RNAcentral